UGAGGAAUAUUGGUCAAUGGGCGCAAGCCUGAACCAGCCAUGCCGCGUGCAGGAUGACGGUCCUAUGGAUUGUAAACUGCUUUUGUACGGGAAGAAACCCUCCUACGUGUAGGAGCUUGACGGUACCGUAAGAAUAAGGAUCGGCUAACUCCGUGCCAGCAGCCGCGGUAAUACGGAGGAUCCAAGCGUUAUCCGGAAUCAUUGGGUUUAAAGGGUCUGUAGGCGGUCUUGUAAGUCAGUGGUGAAAGCCCAUCGCUCAACGGUGGAACGGCCAUUGAUACUGCUGAACUUGAAUUAUUAGGAAGUAACUAGAAUAUGUAGUGUAGCGGUGAAAUGCUUAGAGAUUACAUGGAAUACCAAUUGCGAAGGCAGGUUACUACUAAUGGAUUGACGCUGAUGGACGAAAGCGUGGGUAGCGAACA
RNAcentral lists this ribosomal RNA (422 nucleotides) under uncultured Flavobacterium sp. RNAcentral's name for it is "bacterial SSU rRNA". It matches the Rfam family "Bacterial small subunit ribosomal RNA", at positions 355 to 774 of the family's 1533-position model. Lineage: Bacteria; Pseudomonadati; Bacteroidota; Flavobacteriia; Flavobacteriales; Flavobacteriaceae. The record is from RNAcentral.